RNAcentral lists this ribosomal RNA (253 nucleotides) under uncultured bacterium. Its description in RNAcentral is "partial 16S ribosomal RNA". It matches the Rfam family "Bacterial small subunit ribosomal RNA", at positions 524 to 776 of the family's 1533-position model. The record is from RNAcentral.
UACGGAGGGAGCUAGCGUUGUUCGGAAUUACUGGGCGUAAAGCGCACGUAGGCGGCUUUGUAAGUUAGAGGUGAAAGCCUGGGGCUCAACUCCAGAACUGCCUUUAAAACUGCAUCGCUUGAAUCCAGGAGAGGUGAGUGGAAUUCCGAGUGUAGAGGUGAAAUUCGUAGAUAUUGGGAAGAACACCGGUGGCGAAGGCGGCGAGCUGGCCUGUGACUGACGCUGAGGCGCGACAGCGUGGGGAGCAAACAGG